This 233-nucleotide unclassified non-coding RNA is filed under the name Hevea brasiliensis (rubber tree). The record is from RNAcentral. Lineage: Eukaryota; Viridiplantae; Streptophyta; Magnoliopsida; Malpighiales; Euphorbiaceae.
AAUCCCAAAAUUCCAGCAAUCACCCCACCAAUGAUAGACAAAAAUGUCCGGCUGUAAUAUAUGACUUUCAUGUUACUUUGCAAAUUUUCAGCAUUGAAAGUUUGCAAAUCAUUAGCAUCUUCACUUGAUUUCUUCUCGGAUCCACCAGCCAUGCCUUCUACUAUAUAAUGAUCUAAUUUAUGCUCAACUUGUAGCACCACUGAGUAAACUCUGCUUAUGUCCCGAUUUGUUCC